Molecule: ribosomal RNA, 253 nt
Filed under: uncultured bacterium
Lineage: Bacteria
Description: partial 16S ribosomal RNA
Rfam family: Bacterial small subunit ribosomal RNA
Source: RNAcentral
GACGAACCUUGCUAACGUUAUUCGGAAUUACUGGGCUUAAAGGGUGCGUAGGCGGUGCGGAAAGUCGGGUGUGAAAUCCCCCAGCUCAACUGGGGAAUUGCGCCUGAAACUACCGUGCUCGAGGAAGACAGAGGUACGCGGAACUUAGGGUGGAGCGGUGAAAUGCGUUGAUAUCCGGAGGAACACCGGUGGCGAAGGCGGCUUCCUGGACCGACACUGACGCUGAGGCGCGAAAGCUAGGGGAGCAAACGGG